GAAGAACCUCCAUCAAUGCAAGGAUGAAGUGAAAGCUCCAUGAGUGGGAGCACAAGGACUGGCCAGUAUCUUGUGCAGGCCUUGUACCUGUGUAGUUUCACCCCAGGAGCUUGCAUGAGUAAACUACACUCGCUGCUGUUAGAUGUCUAAAAUGAGCAGCUGCAGACAGGAGUGAGGGGCUCUGUAGGAAAGUGCAAUCAGAGACAGAGUCAGUCUGGAAAGAACCAGCCUAGAAAAAGAUGUGGUGAGUUGUGCCUAUCUGCUUUGGGGAGCAGUCUGCUUUGUCUCUCUGUGUGUUUUUGGUUACUGUGAGUUAUUUUGGAUUCUAAGAAUAAAAGUAAUGUUAUUUUGCAGACUUCCAGCAAGAGUAUUUGGUAUGUUUAUCUAACAUCAAUGUGUGUAUGCCGUGAACAUAACGAGUGCAAACUCUCUCCUAUCUGCCACAGCUUCUCUCAAAGGACUGGUACAUAUCAAAACUAACAACAAUACAGCAUUUCUUCAAAGACUAAAAUCUUGCUCAAACAUGAAAACUUUUAGUUUUUACAUUAAGACUAUAUGUGUCAGAGCUAUCUGGUGACUCCGGCCUUAACAAUAUUUUGAUAAUUCCAGUCCCCCAACUAAAUCUGGCACCUGAGAAUCAAGCUGAGGUUCUUUCCUUUUCACACGUCAAGGCCAGUAAUAAAAGUUCUGUAAGGCUCACUCACAUCUGUCCAACCCCACUAUCUUUCGAUUCUAUCUUCAGUGACACCUAGGCAGUCCUAUAGCCCUCAUUAGGUUUGCACAGGUGCCAAUGAAAUACAACAGACAGUUAUGUUGGUGAUGCCUGAACCAGCAUGGAAUCCAGCUCCCUCUCCCGGAGCUAUGCCAGCUUUGCUGGGCUGACAGGAGUAAAAAAGUGGUAAAUUAUUAUUUUUGUGU
Long non-coding RNA from Chelonia mydas (Green sea turtle), 918 nucleotides. RefSeq lists it as uncharacterized. The transcript is spliced from 3 exons. NCBI's taxonomy places the organism in Eukaryota, Metazoa, Chordata, Testudines, Cheloniidae. The record is from RefSeq and is a predicted model, not a curated record.